This 226-nucleotide ribosomal RNA is filed under the name Salinivibrio sp. VYel7. RNAcentral's name for it is "partial 23S ribosomal RNA". It matches the Rfam family "Bacterial large subunit ribosomal RNA", at positions 2717 to 2925 of the family's 2925-position model. The record is from RNAcentral. Lineage: Bacteria; Pseudomonadati; Pseudomonadota; Gammaproteobacteria; Vibrionales; Vibrionaceae. RNAcentral also lists the same sequence under 3 other names.
CGGGUUGUGUCGCCAGACGCAUUGCCCGGUAGCUAAGUUCGGCACAGAUAAGCGCUGAAAGCAUCUAAGCGCGAAGCUGGCCCCGAGAUGAGUCAUCCCUAGAGCUUCGAGCUCUCUAAAGGGUUGUUCUAGACUAGAACGUUGAUAGGCAGGGUGUGUAAGCGCUGUGAGGCGUUGAGCUAACCUGUACUAAUUGCCCGUGAGGCUUAACCAUACAACACCCAAG